UACGAACUGUGCGAACGUUAUUCGGAAUCACUGGGCUUACAGGGUGCGUAGGCGGCCGAACAAGUCAGGUGUGAAAGCCCUCGGCUCAACCGAGGAACUGCGCUUGAAACUGUUUGGCUCGAGUCAACUAGAGGUGCACGGAACUUCCAGUGGAGCGGUGAAAUGCUUAGAUAUGACAUAGAACACCAAUUGCGAAGGCAGCUCACUAAGCAAAUAUUGACGCUGAGGCACGAAAGCGUGGGGAUCAAACAGG
Molecule: ribosomal RNA, 253 nt
Filed under: uncultured bacterium
Lineage: Bacteria
Description: partial 16S ribosomal RNA
Rfam family: Bacterial small subunit ribosomal RNA
Source: RNAcentral